RNAcentral lists this ribosomal RNA (520 nucleotides) under uncultured bacterium. RNAcentral's name for it is "bacterial SSU rRNA". It matches the Rfam family "Bacterial small subunit ribosomal RNA", at positions 777 to 1296 of the family's 1533-position model. The record is from RNAcentral.
AAUAGAUACCCGGGUAGUCCACGCCGUAAACGAUGAGUGCUAAGUGUUGGAGGGUUUCCGCCUUUCAGUGCUGCAGCUAACGCAUUAAGCACUCCGCCUGGGGAGUACGGUCGCAAGACUGAAACUCAAAGGAAUUGACGGGGGCCCGCACAAGCGGUGGAGCAUGUGGUUUAAUUCGAAGCAACGCGAAGAACCUUACCAGGUCUUGACAUCUCCUGACCGCCCUGGAGACAGGGUCUUCCCUUCGGGGACAGGAUGACAGGUGGUGCAUGGUUGUCGUCAGCUCGUGUCGUGAGAUGUUGGGUUAAGUCCCGCAACGAGCGCAACCCUUGGUUCUAGUUGCCAGCAUUCAGUUGGGCACUCUAGAGCGACUGCCGGCGACAAGUCGGAGGAAGGUGGGGAUGACGUCAAAUCAUCAUGCCCCUUAUGACCUGGGCUACACACGUGCUACAAUGGAUGGUACAAAGGGCAGCGAAGCGGCGACGCAUGAGCGAAUCCCAGAAAACCAUUCUCAGUUCGG